GGGGAUUGCCUACCUGCAGUCGAUUUCCGCGGACUUCUUCUUGCCGGUUAGAAUAGGAACGGGUGAGUAAAGCAUCGGAACGUACCCUAGAGUGGGGGAUAACUAUCCGAAAGGAUAGCUAAUACCGCAUAUUCUAUGAGUAGGAAAGCGGGGGAUCUUCGGACCUCGCGCUCUAGGAGCGGCCGAUGUCAGAUUAGCUAGUUGGUGGGGUAAAGGCCUACCAAGGCGACGAUCUGUAGCGGGUCUGAGAGGAUGAUCCGCCACACUGGGACUGAGACACGGCCCAGACUCCUACGGGAGGCAGCAGUGGGGAAUUUUGGACAAUGGGGGCAACCCUGAUCCAGCCAUGCCGCGUGAGUGAAGAAGGCCUUCGGGUUGUAAAGCUCUUUCGGCCGGGAAGAAAUCGCACGGGCUAAUACCUUGUGUGGAUGACGGUACCGGAAUAAGAAGCACCGGCUAACUACGUGCCAGCAGCCGCGGUAAUACGUAGGGUGCGAGCGUUAAUCGGAAUUACUGGGCGUAAAGCGUGCGCAGGCGGUUUUUUAAGACAGGCGUGAAAUCCCCGGGCUUAACCUGGGAACUGCGCUUGUGACUGGAAGGCUAGAGUACGGCAGAGGGGGGUGGAAUUCCACGUGUAGCAGUGAAAUGCGUAGAGAUGUGGAGGAACACCGAUGGCGAAUGCAGCCCCCUGGGCCGAUACUGACGCUCAUGCACGAAAGCGUGGGGAGCAAACAGGAUUAGAUACCCUGUUAGUCCACGCCCUAACGAUGUCAACUAGUUGUUGGGAAGGUAAAUACCUUUUAGUAACGUACUAACGCCG
This 820-nucleotide ribosomal RNA is filed under the name uncultured Azonexus sp. RNAcentral describes it as "bacterial SSU rRNA". It matches the Rfam family "Bacterial small subunit ribosomal RNA", at positions 44 to 860 of the family's 1533-position model. The record is from RNAcentral. Lineage: Bacteria; Pseudomonadati; Pseudomonadota; Betaproteobacteria; Rhodocyclales; Azonexaceae.